UGCCAUAGUCCUUGAUCCACACACCCAGA
This 29-nucleotide non-coding RNA is filed under the name Rattus norvegicus (Norway rat). Lineage: Eukaryota; Metazoa; Chordata; Mammalia; Rodentia; Muridae. The record is from RNAcentral.